This 453-nucleotide ribosomal RNA is filed under the name uncultured bacterium. RNAcentral's name for it is "bacterial SSU rRNA". It matches the Rfam family "Bacterial small subunit ribosomal RNA", at positions 29 to 524 of the family's 1533-position model. The record is from RNAcentral.
AACGAACGCUGGCGGCAGGCUUAACACAUGCAAGUCGAACGCGUGUAGCAAUACACGAGUGGCGCACGGGUGAGUAACGCGUGGAUAUCUGCCUUUUGGUUCGGAAUAACUCCGGGAAACUGGAGCUAAUACCGGAUGGUUCCUACGGGAUAAAGAUUUAUCGCCAAAAGAUGAGUCCGCGUACGAUUAGCUAGUUGGUGAGGUAAUGGCUCACCAAGGCGACGAUCGUUAGCUGGUCUGAGAGGACGAUCAGCCACACUGGGACUGAGACACGGCCCAGACUCCUACGGGAGGCAGCAGUGGGGAAUAUUGGACAAUGGGGGCAACCCUGAUCCAGCCAUGCCGCGUGAGUGAUGAAGGCCUUCGGGUUGUAAAGCUCUUUUGGUCGGGGACGAUGAUGACGGUACCCGCAGAAUAAGCCCCGGCUAACUUCGUGCCAGCAGCCGCGGUAAU